This 224-nucleotide long non-coding RNA is filed under the name Ananas comosus (pineapple). RNAcentral's name for it is "long non-coding RNA (ACOM_LNC044121)". The record is from RNAcentral. Lineage: Eukaryota; Viridiplantae; Streptophyta; Magnoliopsida; Poales; Bromeliaceae.
UACGGCUAUCGCUUCGUAUAUAGGAGAAAUUUCUUUGUAUACGGUGGAUUUGUCGGCGUGCUCGGGGAACGUGUAAUCCGAGGCGUGACAAUAUAUUAAUUAGAUUAAUUAAUAAUUUACUGUCAUUAAAAUUAAAUUUAGAUUUUAAUUAACCUUGUUCUCAUCAAGGAAUAAGCUAGUUCCAGGAAACGGGUUGAACAGCAGUUCCAGCCUUAUACCAGCUU